AUGCAUGCCUGUGUGUGCAACGUGCAGGCUGUGUGUGAGCAUAGGUGGGUGUGCACAGGCUGCACUCAUGUUUGGACAGCGUGCUGGGUGCUCACAUACGGUGUGUGUCUGUGUGUGUGUGUGCAGAGUGUGCAGACAGGGAUGCUGCACGCAGGCUGUACUUCAUGCAUGCAUGUGGAUGUGUGUUUGCAGUGUGUGUGCUGUGCACCCACUGUGCUCCUACUGGGCUGUGUGCAGGUGUCUCGGCCUUCAUGGUGCUCUAGAAAGAACAGCGACAGCGCCUGUAAAGCGUCUCGGAGGACAGUGCUGGGAGUCAGCACUGCUCUGCUCACCUGCACCCAGUCUGUGCAGCAGCAGCUGCGUUGUGCUGGAAGGCACACGCUGGGGUUCCCUGAUCCAGCUGCUCCUGGGCUUGUUCCCAUCCCGAUGAUUAUGAGCCACAGGCAGAGGGAUGCAAGGUGCCAGGGCUGCUGCCUGCGGGGGGAUUCAAGGAGGCAACCACCCCGUGUAAAGCUGGGACAGCGCUGUCCUGGAGAUGUAGGCGCUGGUGCAGCACUCACACUGCAUGCCCGUGCUGCCUGCAGCCCUCCGACUCCCUUCCCCCAGCAGCAUGUCUCACUGCCGCCUCGCUCUAAUUUCCUGUCCAUUGUCCCCAUCGCUGCCACCAUCGGUCCCCAGCGCAGGGCCGUGCAACGCACAGCCAGCCUCCAUGCACCUCCGUCAUCUCCACGCGCAUACCCCACCAGGGCCGUGCCCACCCUCUGCAGCUCCCAAAAGAGCCUGGGUGCUGCCGUGUCCCCCGUUCACUCCCAGCACCGGUGGGGCCGGGCAUGGCCAGCCCAGCAUGGGGAGCAGGAGCCCAUAGCAGAUUCUGUGGCCGGUGCUCAGCUGCACCGCAAGAGGGGUCAUCGGAAAUGGAGUGUACAGGGGUACUUGAUGGUCACGUGGCAGCAGCACUGUGGGAAACAAUCACUGGGGCUGAGAGCUCUCCAAUCCAGCAGGGAGAAGAGAACUGCGAGAAACAGGCAAGAGCUGAAGCCAGACACGUUCAAAUGA
RNAcentral lists this long non-coding RNA (1056 nucleotides) under Phasianus colchicus (ring-necked pheasant). RNAcentral's name for it is "lncRNA (ENSPCLG00000009871.1)". Lineage: Eukaryota; Metazoa; Chordata; Aves; Galliformes; Phasianidae. The record is from RNAcentral.